This 460-nucleotide ribosomal RNA is filed under the name uncultured bacterium. RNAcentral's name for it is "partial 16S ribosomal RNA". It matches the Rfam family "Bacterial small subunit ribosomal RNA", at positions 338 to 795 of the family's 1533-position model. The record is from RNAcentral.
CCUACGGGGGGCAGCAGUGAGGAAUAUUGGUCAAUGGCCGGAAGGCUGAACCAGCCAUGCCGCGUGAAGGUCAGUGCCCUAUGGGCGUUAAACUUCUUUUGUGCGGGAGCAAUAAUGGUCACGUGUGGCCAGACGAGAGUACCGUACGAAUAAGCAUCGGCUAACUCCGUGCCAGCAGCCGCGGUAAUACGGGGGAUGCAAGCGUUAUCCGGAUUUAUUGGGGUGAAAGGGUGAGUAGGCUGGGAGGUAAGUCAGCGGUGAAAUGCCCCCGCUCAACGGGGUGAAGUGCCAUUGAUACUGGCUUGCUGGAAUGCGGAUGCGGUGGGAGGAAUGUGUGGUGUAGCGGUGAAAUGCAUAGAUAUCACACAGAACACCGAUUGCGAAGGCAUCUCACGAAUCCGAGAUUGACGCUGAUGCACGAAAGCGUGGGGAUCAAACAGGAUUAGAUACCCGAGUAGUC